This 501-nucleotide ribosomal RNA is filed under the name uncultured bacterium. Its description in RNAcentral is "bacterial SSU rRNA". It matches the Rfam family "Bacterial small subunit ribosomal RNA", at positions 91 to 588 of the family's 1533-position model. The record is from RNAcentral.
GCGAGUGGCGAACGGGUGAGUAAUGUAUCGGAACGUGCCUAGUAGCGGGGGAUAACUACGCGAAAGCGUAGCUAAUACCGCAUACGCCCUACGGGGGAAAGCAGGGGAUCGCAAGACCUUGCACUAUUAGAGCGGCCGAUAUCGGAUUAGCUAGUUGGUGGGGUAACGGCUCACCAAGGCGACGAUCCGUAGCUGGUUUGAGAGGACGACCAGCCACACUGGGACUGAGACACGGCCCAGACUCCUACGGGAGGCAGCAGUGGGGAAUUUUGGACAAUGGGGGAAGCCCUGAUCCAGCCAUCCCGCGUGUGCGAUGAAGGCCUUCGGGUUGUAAAGCACUUUUGGCAGGAAAGAAACGUCAUGGGCUAAUACCCCGUGAAACUGACGGUACCUGCAGAAUAAGCACCGGCUAACUACGUGCCAGCAGCCGCGGUAAUACGUAGGGUGCAAGCGUUAAUCGGAAUUACUGGGCGUAAAGCGUGCGCAGGCGGUUCGGAAAGA